This 457-nucleotide ribosomal RNA is filed under the name Bacillus halotolerans. RNAcentral describes it as "bacterial SSU rRNA". It matches the Rfam family "Bacterial small subunit ribosomal RNA", at positions 171 to 621 of the family's 1533-position model. Lineage: Bacteria; Bacillati; Bacillota; Bacilli; Caryophanales; Bacillaceae. The record is from RNAcentral.
GCAUAAGACCUGAGGGUUAAAGGGGGCCUCUAUAUAUAAGCUCUUGCUAGGAGAUGAGCCCGCGUUGGAUUAGCUAGUUGGUAGGGUAAAGGCUUACCAAGGCGACGAUCCAUAGCUGGUUUGAGAGAAUGGCCAGCCACACUGGGACUGAGACACGGCCCAGACUCCUACGGGAGGCAGCAGUGGGGAAUAUUGGACAAUGGGGGAAACCCUGAUCCAGCAAUGCCACGUGUGUGAAGAAGGCCUUAGGGUUGUAAAGCACUUUCAGCGGGGAGGAAGGUAAGCUAAUUAAUACUUGGCUUAAUUGACGUUACCUGCAGAAGAAGCACCGGCUAACUCCGUGCCAGCAGCCGCGGUAAUACGGAGGGUGCGAGCGUUAAUCGGAAUUACUGGGCGUAAAGGGCGCGUAGGCGGAAGAUUAAGUUGGAUGUGAAAUCCCAGGGCUCAACCUUGGAAC